This 460-nucleotide ribosomal RNA is filed under the name uncultured bacterium. RNAcentral describes it as "partial 16S ribosomal RNA". It matches the Rfam family "Bacterial small subunit ribosomal RNA", at positions 338 to 795 of the family's 1533-position model. The record is from RNAcentral.
CCUACGGGAGGCAGCAGUGAGGAAUAUUGGUCAAUGGACGAGAGUCUGAACCAGCCAAGUAGCGUGAAGGAUGACUGCCCUAUGGGUUGUAAACUUCUUUUAUAUGGGAAUAAAACGUUCCACGUGUGGGAUUUUGUAUGUACCAUAUGAAUAAGGAUCGGCUAACUCCGUGCCAGCAGCCGCGGUAAUACGGAGGAUCCGAGCGUUAUCCGGAUUUAUUGGGUUUAAAGGGAGCGUAGGUGGAUUGUUAAGUCAGUUGUGAAAGUUUGCGGCUCAACCGUAAAAUUGCAGUUGAAACUGGCAGUCUUGAGUACAGUAGAGGUGGGCGGAAUUCGUGGUGUAGCGGUGAAAUGCUGAGAUAUCACGAAGAACUCCGAGUGCGAAGGCAGUUCACUGGACUGCAACUGACACUGAGGCUCGAAAGUGUGGGUAUCAAACAGGAUUAGAUACCCUAGUAGUC